Molecule: ribosomal RNA, 334 nt
Filed under: uncultured bacterium
Lineage: Bacteria
Description: bacterial SSU rRNA
Rfam family: Bacterial small subunit ribosomal RNA
Source: RNAcentral
AGUGGAGCAAUCCAUGAGUACAGUGGCGUACGGGUGAGUAACACGUGACUACCUACCCUCGAGCGGGGAAUAACCUCGGGGAACCGGGACUUUUACCACAUAACAUCUACGGAUCAAAUGCGUAAGCAGCUUGAGGAGGGGGUCGCGGCCGAUUAGCUAGUUGGUGAGGUAAUGGCUCACCAAGGCAAUGAUCGGUAGCCGGCCUGAGAGGGCGCACGGCCACACUGGAACUGAAACACGGUCCAGACUCCUACGGGAGGCAGCAGUGGGGAAUUUUGCGCAAUGGGGGAAACCCUGACGCAGCAACGCCGCGUGGAGGAUGAAGCCCCUUGGG